This 328-nucleotide unclassified non-coding RNA is filed under the name soil metagenome. RNAcentral describes it as "partial contains 5.8S ribosomal RNA, internal transcribed spacer 2, and large subunit ribosomal RNA". The stretch from base 1 to 120 matches the Rfam family "5.8S ribosomal RNA", at positions 35 to 154 of the family's 154-position model. The record is from RNAcentral.
GAUGAAGAACGUAGCGAAAUGCGAUAAGUAAUGUGAAUUGCAGAAUUCAGUGAAUCAUCGAAUCUUUGAACGCACAUUGCGCCCGCCAGUAUUCUGGCGGGCAUGCCUGUUCGAGCGUCAUUUCAACCAUCAAGCUCAGCUUGGUGUUGGGGCCUGCUGCACUGGCAGCCCUUAAAAUCAGUGGCGGCGCCAUCUGGCUCUAAGCGUAGUAAUUCUUCUCGCUAUGGAGUCCUGGUGGAUGCUUGCCAUCAACCCCCAAUUUUUCUAUGGUUGACCUCGGAUCAGGUAGGGAUACCCGCUGAACUUAAGCAUAUCAAUAAGCGGAGGA